Molecule: ribosomal RNA, 820 nt
Filed under: uncultured bacterium
Lineage: Bacteria
Description: bacterial SSU rRNA
Rfam family: Bacterial small subunit ribosomal RNA
Source: RNAcentral
GCUGGCGGCGUGCUUAACACAUGCAAGUCGAACGAACCACUUUGAUUUGAUUCUUCGGAUGAAGAUCUUAGUGACUGAGUGGCGGACGGGUGAGUAACGCGUGGGUAACCUGCCUCAUACAGGGGGAUAACAGUUAGAAAUGACUGCUAAUACCGCAUAAGACCACAGCACCGCAUGGUGCAGGGGCAAAAACUCCGGUGGUAUGAGAUGGACCCGCGUCUGAUUAGGUAGUUGGUGGGGUAACGGCCUACCAAGCCGACGAUCAGUAGCCGACCUGAGAGGGUGACCGGCCACAUUGGGACUGAGACACGGCCCAAACUCCUACGGGAGGCAGCAGUGGGGAAUACUGCACAAUGGGGGAAACCCUGAUGCAGCGACGCCGCGUGAGCGAUGAAGUAUUUCGGUAUGUAAAGCUCUAUCAGCAGGGAAGAAAAUGACGGUACCUGACUAAGAAGCACCGGCUAAAUACGUGCCAGCAGCCGCGGUAAUACGUAUGGUGCAAGCGUUAUCCGGAUUUACUGGGUGUAAAGGGAGCGUAGACGGAGUGGCAAGUCUGAUGUGAAAACCCGGGGCUCAACCCCGGGACUGCAUUGGAAACUGUCAAUCUAGAGUACCGGAGAGGUAAGCGGAAUUCCUAGUGUAGCGGUGAGAUGCGUAGAUAUUAGGAGGAACACCAGUGGCGAAGGCGGCUUACUGGACGGUAACUGACGUUGAGGCUCGAAAGCGUGGGGAGCAAACAGGAUUAGAUACCCUGGUAGUCCACGCCGUAAACGAUGACUACUAGGUGUCGGGCAGCAAAGCUGUUCGGUGCCGCAGCAAA